CUCACCGCGCUCUGCAUCCUCCCUCACCGCCAUCCAACCCCCAACCACUCCCACCGCACCACCAUGUCCCGCACCAAGGAGACCGCCCGCGCGAAGCGCACCAUCACGUCGAAGAAGAGCAAGAAGGCGUCGAGCGGGGCGUCCGGCGUGAAGAAGUCGCAUCGCCGCUGGCGCCCGGGCACCUGCGCGAUCCGCGAGAUCCGCAAGUUCCAGAAGAGUACGAGCCUGCUGAUCCAGUGCGCGCCGUUCCAGCGCCUGGUGCGCGAGGUGUCGAGCGCGCAGAAGGAGGGCCUGCGCUUCCAGAGCAGCGCCAUCAUGGCGCUGCAGGAGGCGACGGAGGCGUACAUUGUGUCGCUGAUGGCGGACACGAACCUCGCCUGCAUCCACGCGAAGCGCGUGACGAUCCAGCCGAAGGACAUCCAGCUGGCGCUGCGCCUGCGCGGUGAGCGCCACUAGAGACGAAGCCAACGCGUGCGCUGCGGCACUUUUCUUGGCUGCGCAGACGAGGUGAGAGGCUGCGGUGGGGAGCGGAGGGAGGACGCUGUGUGUGAGCUGCGUCGACGCUCUGCACUCUCCCCCCUUCCCCCUCGCUCACCUGCUGCCCCUCAGCAAGUCAGCGUUGCGUGCGUGUGUGUGCUUGUGUGAGCGGCGCUCUCACGGACUCGCACGGGCUUACCGACACACACUCCAUAGAUGCUCUUCGUUUUCGACCCACCUUCUUUCUUGUGUUUUGUUUUGCAGUUUUGAUGUGCUUCGCGUCCCUCUGCGGUGCUCGUGACGUCUGAGGAGACGCCCGUUCAUGUGCUUCGUAUUUUCUCCCAUCAGCGCCGUGGCCCAUCAUUUGUUUUCUGGGCCGCGCCUCUCUUAGCCGCUGUGCACGCACGAGGCGGUGGUGUGGGCGAGGUGGCCGAUGCGCUGGAGGAGGGGAGGGGGAAGGAAGGACGGGGUAUACCUUGGGCACCGAGCACUGCGUAAGAAACGGAAAAUGCAACGACUCGCGCACGCGCACGGAGACGCAUGAGGUGCUGGCGGCACGGGCGGUGUGCCGCGCCUCUCACAAGCGAAAUGGCGGUGGAGAGAAAGUAAAAGUACAAGGAAGAGAAGAGGGACGAGAGGAGCGCGCGUGUGUGUGUGCGCGCAUCGUUCCCGAAGUGGUUCACAGAUUCACCGACGGACUCAUACACCCAUGGGAAGAGACAUGCGCUGUGCAUCGGCGCAGGCGUGUGUGUCUCCCUGUAGCGUUCGAGGGAUGGUGGUGCCGCCCCGUCCCAAGCAGUGCUGGAGCGAGAGGCAGCUUGUGUGAUGCGGUUUUGCCUAUGCGAGCGUGCGGAGGCACGUCUCUUUCCUCUUCGUUCGUCCUGCCCUCUCUUCCUCGUCUUCCCUGGUUAUGAUGAUGCUCCGCUCUCCCUCUUCUCCUUGGCGAACAG
Molecule: unclassified non-coding RNA, 1427 nt
Filed under: Leishmania donovani
Lineage: Eukaryota; Euglenozoa; Kinetoplastea; Trypanosomatida; Trypanosomatidae
Description: gene:LdHU3.16.0730(CDS-product:histone_H3)
Source: RNAcentral